UACAGAGGGGGCAAGCGUUGUUCGGAAUUACUGGGCGUAAAGGGCGCGUAGGCGGCCUGCUAAGUCGAACGUGAAAUCCCUGGGCUCAACCCAGGAACUGCGUCCGAUACUGGUUGGCUUGAAUCCGGGAGAGGGAUGCGGAAUUCCAGGUGUAGCGGUGAAAUGCGUAGAUAUCGAGAGGAACAUCGGUGGCGAAGGCGGCCUUCUGGACAGCGACUGACGCUGAGACGCGAAAGCGUGGGGAGCAAACAGG
Molecule: ribosomal RNA, 253 nt
Filed under: uncultured bacterium
Lineage: Bacteria
Description: partial 16S ribosomal RNA
Rfam family: Bacterial small subunit ribosomal RNA
Source: RNAcentral